Molecule: long non-coding RNA, 219 nt
Filed under: Brassica napus (rape)
Lineage: Eukaryota; Viridiplantae; Streptophyta; Magnoliopsida; Brassicales; Brassicaceae
Description: long non-coding RNA (BNAP_LNC001728)
Source: RNAcentral
GGGGCUGAAAAUGCAAGUAACCUAUACCUGAUCAUGAAAUGCAUCACCUAAAGCUAAGAUCAACAAUUUGCAAAGUCAUUAUAGAAACAUUGGAAGACAAAGAUAGAUGUCUUAACAUUGACAAGAACUCAUCACCGAAAACAAGUUAUAUGCUCAUCUGAAGUUACAAUGUACCAACUUAUAACCGAAAAGGAAGAAAAUCUAUAUGCUGAAAGAGUA